This is a long non-coding RNA of Brassica napus (rape), 1283 nucleotides long. RefSeq lists it as uncharacterized. The transcript has 2 exons. The record is from RefSeq and is a predicted model, not a curated record. NCBI's taxonomy places the organism in Eukaryota, Viridiplantae, Streptophyta, Magnoliopsida, Brassicales, Brassicaceae.
UCUCUCUCCCCCCUUGUUGUUCGCUGUUUGCUGAAGGCUAGAACCAAGCCGUUGGAGAUCCCCGAUGAACCGAUCCAAUUCUAUGUCCAGAUCUCUCCAUGUCUUCUUUCUAGAUCUGGUCACUGGUGAGAUCUGGUUCGUUGAAAGCCAUAAGCUUCAGAUCUGGUUCUACUCUCUUUCCCAUUCUCAAAUCUAAGACCAAUGUGAGGGCUUGUUGCAAUCUUUAUCUCCUUCUAUCAUUUUCUCAUCAUGGUAGAAGUGUCUAGGUUGAUCAUUCAUCCCUACUUGUUACUUUCUAUAGAUCUAUUAAAAUAAAUAAAUAUUCAUAUGAUAUAUAUAUAUCUUGAUGCUUGAUGUGUGAAAGACAUAGAUCUAUUGCUAAGGUUUUUAAAAUAUGGUUGGAUGAUGUUUGAGGAUUGAAUGUGAUGAUUGUAUUGAUUGGGGUUAUUGUAUAUGAGUUUGAUAUUUAUAUAUUUGGGAGAUGUAUUGAGUUAGGGAAAGGCUUAAGGCAUAAGUGUGCCGGUGUAACGUGGUGGAAUGACAUAUAUGUAUGUCUCGGGCGUUACAUCGUUUCUUGUUGGGUCAUGUGGCAAUCGUUUGAGUUGGCAUGAUUCAUCGCCGGAGCGGGCAUGCGGCGUACCUGUAAAUGGAGUAACGUAGAAGCGUGAUGUCGUGGAGACAACGUGGAACGUAUGAACAUGGUGGCGGAUCAAGCGAGAACCAAUGUCGGUAACUUGAUUGCGUGAAGGCGUGAGACAGCGUAAUGUCGUGGAGACAACGCAACAUGAAAGUUCUCGCGCGACAACAUGAGGAACGCGGGUACCGAUUUAGGUGGCGUGGUCUCAUUGUUGGAACCGCCGGGGUUUAUCCUCAUUUUUUGUUGAUUGCUUUCGAUUUACUGAAUGUUAAAGGUAGAUGCUUAUGCUAUGUUGUGUGAUGAUUGUUGGUGAUUGAUUUUGGGGCUCCUGGAGCUUCCCUCACUGAGCUUUUGUCGAAAUGCUCACCCUUCCUUCUUCCUUCAUUUCAGGUUCGGCUCAUAUUGUUGGGUUUUUGUCAAAGACGUCCUGUGAUCCUAAAGACACAUUGUUUCGGCCUUGUGGCUGGAGACAAGUGUCAUGAUAUCGCCGACCAUUUCAGCUAUGCUGGAUCGGGGUGUCACAAUUAUGAUAUCUGAGCGAGAACCAUAUUAACAAACUUAAACCAUCACUAUACAUCAAUCUAAUAGAUUUUGAAUAUUCCAAUCAAAUAAUGGCAUAUAAAUAUGACAAUAGUUUCUUUUUAAA